RNAcentral lists this ribosomal RNA (1377 nucleotides) under Corynebacterium sp. HMSC05H05. Its description in RNAcentral is "bacterial LSU rRNA". It matches the Rfam family "Bacterial large subunit ribosomal RNA", at positions 630 to 1887 of the family's 2925-position model. The record is from RNAcentral. Lineage: Bacteria; Bacillati; Actinomycetota; Actinomycetes; Mycobacteriales; Corynebacteriaceae.
GCGGCAUGUCGCGAGGUUAACCCGUUUUUGUGGGGUAGUCGUAGCGAAAGCGAAUCCGAAUAGGGUGGCAAGUGGCAUGUCCUGGACCCGAAGCGGGGUGAUCUACCCAUGGCCAGUGUGAAGCAGCUGUAAGAGGUUGUGGAGGCGCGAACCCACUUAGGUUGAAAACUGAGGGGAUGAGCUGUGGGUAGGGGUGAAAGGCCAAUCAAACUCCGUGAUAGCUGGUUCUCCCCGAAAUGCAUUUAGGUGCAGCGUGAUGUGAGCUUGCCGGAGGUAGAGCUACUGGUUGGUUGAGCGGGACUAUCAUCUUAGCGACGUCAGCCAAACUCCGAAUACCGGUGAAGUGGUGCAUUGCAGUGAGACUGUGGGGGAUAAGCUUCAUAGUCGAGAGGGAAACAGCCCAGAUCGCCGGUUAAGGCCCCUAAGGGUGUGCUAAGUGGAAAAGGAUGUGGGAUCGCGAAGACAGCCAGGAGGUUGGCUUAGAAGCAGCCAUCCUUGAAAGAGUGCGUAAUAGCUCACUGGUCGAGUGGUUCCGCGCCGACAAUGUAGUGGGGCUCAAGCACACCGCCGAAGCCGCGGCAAGUCCUUUGGACUUGGGUAGGGGAGCGUCGUGUGUGGGGUGAAGCCGUACUGGAAGGAGCGGUGGACUGCAUGCGAGUGAGAAUGCAGGCAUGAGUAACGAAUGGCAAGUGAGAAUCUUGCCCGCCGGAUGACUAAGGGUUCCUGGGUCAAGUUCGUCUUCCCAGGGUGAGUCGGGUCCUAAGGCGAGGCCGACAGGCGUAGUCGAUGGUUAACGGGUUGAUAUUCCCGUACCCGUAUGUGCGCGCCCAGUAUCGAAGCGGUGAUACUAACCACCCUGACCCGCUGGCCGUUGCCACUUUUCGAAGUGGUUGGUUGGUGGUGAUGCGUGGGGCCUGAUCCGUUGUAGGUCAGUGAUGGGGUGACGCAGUGAGGUAGCCGAGCCGCUUAUUGGAUUGCGGUGCAAGCGUGUGGCACGACACCAUGGUCAAAUCCGGGUGUCACAAGUGUGAGGCGUGAUGCGUAGCCCAUGUUGGGUGAUGUUGGUGAUCCUGGACUGCCGAGAAAAGCCUCUAGCGAUGUGCAUGUACGGCCCGUACCCAUAACCGACACAGGUGGUCAGGUAGAAAAUACUAAGGCGAGCGGGUGAACUGUGGUUAAGGAACUCGGCAAAAUGCCCCCGUAACUUCGGGAGAAGGGGGACCCACACUGGUUACCGGUCAUACGAUUGUGUUGCUGGUGUGGGUCGCAGAGAAGAGAGGGGAGCGACUGUUUAUCAAAAACACAGGUCCGUGCGAAGACGGUUAAGUUGAUGUAUACGGACUGACGCCUGCCCGGUGCUGGAAGGUUAAGAGGACC